ACAGUUUGACCUGUUUAGUGUUCAUUUGUUGUCAACUGAUUGUAAAGAAAAAAUAUGAAAAACGUGAGUUUUCUGUAAAUUUGUGCCAAAUUAAAUUAAAACUGAAGCAGAAAAACGUCUGUGUUUGUGUUUAGUGUAAAGUAGGUGGCCUCAAAGGCGUCCUCCAUCCGCAAAUAACUAACUGAAAAAAGUGAUUCCAAUAAUAAUUUCGAAGAGAUACUACAGAGAAGUGUUACUCACGGGUUACUACCUUCAAACCCCUGUCCGAACAUUUUCCAGUACAAAUAUUUCAAAGAUCAAUAUUACGGAGAAAUAACAAUCCCUUAUGAUGAUGAAAGUAGACAUCUUAAUCUGGAAGUACAGUUUUCUUUGCCUGGCUUUUACAGAAAUUUGAAACUUGAUUUACAAGGUUUGACACCAUUGGAACUACUUGGUUCGACACCAUUUAUAAAUUACAGAGUUGGUUUCCCGACUCCACCCGACAAUUUUAACAAGGAUCUUCCAAUCAUUACCCAAGCUACUUUUAAUGGUCGAAUUAUAUGUACUGGACCCCCGUAUAAAGACACUUCGAGGGGGGUCACAAGUUUACAAGCCAGUCUUUACUACAAUUUGUAACUCUAACAAUAUCACUGAAUGCCAAUCUUGCAUCUGAAUAAAAAACGAUAAUAAAAAUAA
RNA transcript from Tribolium madens (black flour beetle), 675 nucleotides. RefSeq lists it as uncharacterized. The transcript has 4 exons. The record is from RefSeq and is a predicted model, not a curated record. Lineage: Eukaryota; Metazoa; Arthropoda; Insecta; Coleoptera; Tenebrionidae.